Molecule: ribosomal RNA, 746 nt
Filed under: uncultured bacterium
Lineage: Bacteria
Description: bacterial SSU rRNA
Rfam family: Bacterial small subunit ribosomal RNA
Source: RNAcentral
AGAGUUUGAUCCUGGCUCAGAUUGAACGCUGGCGGCAUGCCUUACACAUGCAAGUCGAACGGCAGCGCGGACUUCGGUCUGGCGGCAAGUGGCGAACGGGUGAGUAAUACAUCGGAACGUACCCUGUUGUGGGGGAUAACUAGUCGAAAGAUUAGCUAAUACCGCAUACGACCUGAGGGUGAAAGCGGGGGACCGAAAGGCCUCGCGCAGCAGGAGCGGCCGAUGUCUGAUUAGCUAGUUGGUGGGGUAAAGGCCCACCAAGGCGACGAUCAGUAGCUGGUCUGAGAGGACGAUCAGCCACACUGGGACUGAGACACGGCCCAGACUCCUACGGGAGGCAGCAGUGGGGAAUUUUGGACAAUGGGGGCAACCCUGAUCCAGCAAUGCCGCGUGUGUGAAGAAGGCCUUCGGGUUGUAAAGCACUUUUGUCCGGAAAGAAAUUGCUCUGGCUAAUACCUGGGGUAGAUGACGGUACCGGAAGAAUAAGCACCGGCUAACUACGUGCCAGCAGCCGCGGUAAUACGUAGGGUGCGAGCGUUAAUCGGAAUUACUGGGCGUAAAGCGUGCGCAGGCGGUUUUGUAAGACAGGCGUGAAAUCCCCGGGCUCAACCUGGGAAUUGCGCUUGUGACUGCAAGGCUAGAGUGCGUCAGAGGGGGGUAGAAUUCCACGUGUAGCAGUGAAAUGCGUAGAGAUGUGGAGGAAUACCGAUGGCGAAGGCAGCCCCCUGGGACGUGACUGACACUCA